Molecule: long non-coding RNA, 2291 nt
Organism: Tyto alba (common barn owl)
Lineage: Eukaryota; Metazoa; Chordata; Aves; Strigiformes; Tytonidae
Exons: 2
Source: RefSeq, a predicted model, not a curated record
GGGACCUGUGGUGUUGGGGGAAGACCCCUUCGCUUCUCUUCUCCGAGCCCGCGGGGAAGCCACCCGGCCUGGGCCCCGGGGCCCGGCGGUCCCGGUUCCCCACGUCGCUUAUACCAGAGCAGGUGCCGCCAGAAAGGGCGCCGGCCCCGCAGCCCUUUGAUGGGCUCCCCCCGCGGCACCGCCGGGCCGCAGAGCCCCAUUCGCAUGCAAAUGGCCCGCCGUGCCCCUCCGGCUUUCAAGGGGAACAGAGGGUACGAGUAGUUGUCACAGGGACGGACCCCGGAGGAACAAAUCCUCCGAAACAGGCUGGGCCCUGAUAAACAAGCUGGUAGGACAAACAGGGUGGUGUCGCCUCCUUCUCCUCCUCCCAGCUACAAAGUGUGGAUUCAUUAACCCGUCUCCUUUUCUCAUCAUAUCCCCGUAGGGCUGAGAGACGAAUUACUGGAGCUGAAUUGGGAGGGGAUUGCUCUAUGAGGGGGCUAAUGUUUCAAUCAGUUCCUCCAGAAGGACCACACAAAAAGAAACUUUUUAGUUUAUGGUGCUAUUAUGCAGAGUUUUAAUCUAGGGAUAGAUUUAGCCAAAUGUUAUCUAUUGGGAAUUUAAUGAAGCCCUUAUGUAUUCAAUCGCUUUUUAUGCCACACACAGUGUCUCUAUCCAGAAACGUUUCCUUCCACAUAUUUCUUUGUUUCUGUUGGGUGAUUUAUAUAUUUUUUAAUUAGGUUUUUAAAUAAUUGCUUCUUUUCAAGCAUCUUGUAUAACGUUUCUCUCAAGUAGGACCGCGUUAGGUCCCUUCCCACAUCCCCUAUAAAUGAAGACUCCCCUUCCCUCCCCCGUUUCGAAGCUGAUUAUUUUGCACGUCCACACACGGCGCCCGUCCCGCCGGAGCGCUCCCCCAGCCUUGCGCGGAGGGGCCCGGAGCAAGCCGGCCCCGCCACCACCGGCAUGGGCUGCAGCGGGCAGCGCGGCCCGGGGGUUCGGCCGACCCCUACGCCGGUCUCCUUCCGAACCUUCCCCAUCCGCAGCCCUCCUCCUGCCAUACAUUCGCUCCUGGUCAUUUUUCUGGUGCACCCCUGGGGGCAGCGAGGUGUUGGCUGGUGCAGCCCCCGCCCUUGCAGGCUGGUUUCAGGUACCCAGGGCCAACCCCAUCCCCGAGUCGGGAGGGUAAAAGGCGGGGGGGUGGAGGCCUCACCUGCUUUCAGCCGCUCCCUCCCUUGCAGCGCUAGUGGCGAGGGCAGAGCGCACGGUCGCCCCCGCCGACACUGAGGCCUGUGCGGGGGAUCUCUUGGAAAGUGGAUCUUGUUUAAUUGUCCCUUGGCACGGCCGCGGGCUCCGCGCCGUAUGUAAUACUUUCCCUCAUUACUUACAGUAAGUACUUCAGUAGUCUCAGAUAAUACUGUAUUCGACAGAAAUCAUGGAAGUUACGGUCGUGGCCAAACGCUUCUUGCGCGGGGACUUGCUAACCAGAGCAGAUCCCUUUUCCAGCUUGCUACCGGCGCCUCCCCCGUCAGCAGCGAAGUUUCUCCCGCUCCCCUUUCGGCGCGGCGCCGGGCCGCACACACCGACGGGACCCGGGGACCGGCGGGGACCGGCCGCCGAGGGCCCGGCGCCUCCCGAGCAAGAACAGCGCCGUUCCCCCGCCCGGAGGGGUGCUGCGGGCUGUCGACCCCGCAGCCCCCCCGGCCCCUUCCCUGCCGCCCGGCCCGGCUAGCCGCGCAGCUCCCGGCUCGACCCGCAAAAGCAGAGGCAAAGCCUGCCGGGCUGGCGAAGGGGUGUGGGGGGGCUUCCGCAGGGAGCCCCGCAGCAAAACUCGCGGCCCGCCCGGCUGCAGCAGCGCGGGUGGUACCGCGGGCUGUGCGCGGCCGCGCAGCGGGGCAGAGCCUCCGCGGCUACAUCUGUUCUUUGCUCGGAGCGCGCCCGUGGGAGCGGGGAGGCACCCAGCGGCGGCUCAGCGGGAAUCACCGCGGGAAACCAGUGGAAGAUGCGUGUCAUAAGAAUGUGUGCCUUUAGUGCAGGUGGCCGGCUUCACAGGCUCCCGCGGCGAGGGGCAGCGGGGCUCCCGCUGCGGUCUGCGCCCAGCAGGAGAGGAGAGACCCACCGGCUAGGCCCCGGAGUGCCCAGAAAGUAGGAAAAAAUACGAACUGGACUGUACGAAAGAGGUUUUUUGUUUUUUUUUUUUUUUUUAAUGCCGUGUCUAGCCAAUUUCGGAAAUUAUAUCGUCGAGUUGAAUUCAGAGGGAAAGUUGUGUGGUUUUUUUAAAUCAAAAUAAUUAAACUUGCCCUUUCUCCAAACCA